This 460-nucleotide ribosomal RNA is filed under the name uncultured bacterium. RNAcentral's name for it is "partial 16S ribosomal RNA". It matches the Rfam family "Bacterial small subunit ribosomal RNA", at positions 338 to 795 of the family's 1533-position model. The record is from RNAcentral.
CCUACGGGGGACAGCAGUGAGGAAUAUUGGGCAAUGGACGCAAGUCUGAACCAGCCAUGCCGCGUGCAGGAAGACGGCUCUAGGAGUGGUAAAUUGCUUUUUGACGAGGGUAAACGCUGAUGGUCGCAUCUGUCUGAGAGAAUCGUACGUAUAUGUAUGGGCUAACGCUGUGCCAGCAGCCGCGGUAAUACGGAGGAUUCAAGCGUUGUCCGGAUUUAGUGGGGUUAAAGGGUGCGUAGGCGGUAGGAUAAGUUAGAGGUGAAAUCCCGAGGCUCAACCUCGGACCUGCUUGUGAUACUGUUCGGCUAGAGAGUAGGUGCGGUAGGCGGAAUGUAUGGUGUAGCGGUGAAAUGCUUAGAGAUCAUACAGAACACCGAUUGCGAAGGCAGCUUACCAAGCUACUUCUGACGUUGAGGCACGAAAGCGUGGGGAGCAAACAGGAUUAGAUACCCUGGUAGUC